Molecule: RNA transcript, 1344 nt
Organism: Gorilla gorilla gorilla (western lowland gorilla)
Lineage: Eukaryota; Metazoa; Chordata; Mammalia; Primates; Hominidae
Exons: 6
Source: RefSeq, a predicted model, not a curated record
CUUGGUGUCAUGCAAUGCAUAACAACCACCUGUGCAGCCUCAUGGCCCUGCACAACCUCCUGACCACAGCGAUGGAAUAAAGUGGUCCAGUCAGGGGCAUUUUCAGCCUCUGGGGAUGUUGAUAUAGUAACUCCUCCUCUUUUCCCGUACCCUGAAAAAAUGCAGCCCAAGAAGCUGCCAAUGCUCUUACAGCUGUGAGGGGAGGGGCUGCUCGAGGAGAGGGGUAACCUAGAGUUGAGAGAUGGAGGAAGAGAUACAGAAUCUGGAUGGCUAUGCUCUGAUCCUGUAAUCCGACUAUGCCUGAAUGUGGAUCUACCUUCCAAAGGAUCCAGCUACUUAUUUUCAGGCCAUCUCUGCAGGCCUCCAUCUUGCUGUAUCCUGAAGGAGAUCUGGAUUCCCAUUCUGUCAGAGAAAAGGACAUUCCUUUCCUUGGGUGUAGGAAGGACAUCUCUGGAAUGAAGAUUUUCUUCGGAGGAAGGUCAGAUAAUUCUCUUAAGGCCCUCUUCAGGGGAGCAGAGUGAGGAGAAGGACUUCUCCAGCUCCAUUUACAGUCUGGCUCCUGGGCCUUUGGAUCCCAGCAGUGUCCGAGCAGGAGCUCAAAGGACAGCCCCACCAUGGGGGAUCAGCCCUAGAAGCUGUCACUACAUCUCCAAUGGACGCAACUAUUUUCCAGCAGGUGAAUGAGCUUCCUGCCCAUAGGAGAAAGGGUAAAAUCAAAAGGUGGUGCCCUUGUCUCCAAAUCUCAAGGUCCUCUGGAUGGCAGGCUUACAGCAUGGCCCUCUCCCAAGAAAUCAUCCAAAAAUUACCUCAGCCAUUCUACAGUCCCCAAGCUGACCAGGGGAGGGAGGACCAAGAAUCUUGAAACCUAAAUACUACAUUUGAUGGUCUCCUUCAGACUUAUUUUGGGAUCUGAUAUCUCUUUAAUAAAAAUUAUAAAAAUUGAGGCAAAGAGAGUCCCAUUUUUAAUAUAUUGUUCUAAUAAAUAACAGGUACCCUUAGAAGAAUGCAGACAAACACUCUUAUGGAAAUUUAAGGGAGCAUAAGACUUCUUCCAGUAUAGGGAGAGAACCAAGGAAGACUUCCUGGAGGAAAUGGCCAUUGAACUGGGCCUUGGACAUGUGGAGGUCAGGGAUGAGAGUAGUCCAGAUGAAGAGUCCAGCAUAGGGAAGGCCCACAGGAAGGAAUUGCGCUGUAUUAAUGCUGUCUUAGAGGCAUUUCCAUUGCCAGAAACAGAUACUCAAAUUACUUCAAAGAGAGAGACAGAGAGUAUUGAAAGGGUUUCUGUGAAUACCUCCACAACUGUGGUUCUCAAAGUGUAAUCCCUGGCCAGCAGCAUCGGCAUCA